UACGAAGGGGGCUAGCGUUGUUCGGAAUUACUGGGCGUAAAGCGCACGUAGGCGGACUAUUAAGUCAGGGGUGAAAUCCCGGGGCUCAACCCCGGAACUGCCUUUGAUACUGGUAGUCUCGAGUCCGGAAGAGGUGAGUGGAAUUCCGAGUGUAGAGGUGAAAUUCGUAGAUAUCUGGAGGAACAACAGAAGCGAAGGCGGCUUUCUGGACUGUCACUGACGCUGAGGAGCGAAAGCGUGGGGAGCAAACGGG
Molecule: ribosomal RNA, 253 nt
Filed under: uncultured bacterium
Lineage: Bacteria
Description: partial 16S ribosomal RNA
Rfam family: Bacterial small subunit ribosomal RNA
Source: RNAcentral